AUGUCUUCGAGCGACUCCGACGAAGGCGCGUGGCCGGGCGGCGUCUGGCCGUUGAGCCUCACCAUCCGCGACACGGAGGACCUCGCCCGGUUCGGCCUGAUGGUGCCGCCGGUUUCGAAGGUGCCGGGGCCAUGGCGGAUCGGCGCAGACGGCGUCCCCACACGCGGCUCGCCACCGACGCCGGAGCAGCUCCACGCCUUCCCUGGCGCCCGGUACAACAGGAAGGCCCGCCGCCGCUUCUGGCGAGGCAAAAACUUCGAUGUCGUCCUCGGCGCGUUCAGGGACGCGGCGGCCGACCGCCCCGUCGGAGACAUUACCGGCGAGGUCGGCUGUUCUCGUCGCCGCCGCCGCCAGCUCCCACCCGCUCCCGGCCCUAGUACUCGGGCACAGCAGGCACCCCCUGCCCCGGCGCUGUCCCCGCUCCCGCCGGCGCAGGCCGCCCUCGCGCAAGACGGCGGCCCCGAUGACACCCCGGGGCUACUUGCGGUGCUGGCCCGGUCGGCAGCCGAGGCGGCGGCGGCGGCGCGCGAGGAGAGAGAGAUGCAGGCGGCCUUAGCGGCGGUGCGGGCGCAGGAGGCGCAGCAUGGCGGCAACUGGUGGGACGACGACUCCGGCGAUGACGGCGGCGAAGGAGGCGCUGGCGUUGUCGACCUCGCCGGCGCCAGCGACGACGAGUAG
Molecule: ribosomal RNA, 678 nt
Filed under: Triticum aestivum (bread wheat)
Lineage: Eukaryota; Viridiplantae; Streptophyta; Magnoliopsida; Poales; Poaceae
Description: partial small subunit ribosomal RNA
Source: RNAcentral